Molecule: ribosomal RNA, 1385 nt
Filed under: metagenome
Description: bacterial SSU rRNA
Rfam family: Bacterial small subunit ribosomal RNA
Source: RNAcentral
AGAGUUUGAUCCUGGCUCAGGAUGAACGCUGGCGGCGUGCUUAACACAUGCAAGUCGAACGAACCUUCGGGUUAGUGGCGGACGGGUGAGUAACGCGUGGGAAUCUGCCCUCAGGAGGGGGAUAACGGCUGGAAACGGCCGCUAAUACCCCAUAUGCCGAGAGGUGAAAAGAAAUUCGCCUGAGGAUGAGCCCGCGUCUGAUUAGCUAGUUGGUGGGGUAAGAGCUCACCAAGGCGACGAUCAGUAGCUGGUCUGAGAGGAUGAUCAGCCACACUGGGACUGAGACACGGCCCAGACUCCUACGGGAGGCAGCAGUGGGGAAUUUUCCGCAAUGGGCGAAAGCCUGACGGAGCAACGCCGCGUGAGGGAUGAAGGCCUCUGGGCUGUAAACCUCUUUUCUCAAGGAAGAAGACAUGACGGUACUUGAGGAAUAAGCCACGGCUAAUUCCGUGCCAGCAGCCGCGGUAAUACGGGAGUGGCAAGCGUUAUCCGGAAUUAUUGGGCGUAAAGCGUCCGCAGGCGGCCCUGUAAGUCUGUCGUUAAAGCGUGGAGCUUAACUCCAUUUAAGCGAUGGAAACUACAGGGCUUGAGUGUGGUAGGGGCAGAGGGAAUUCCCGGUGUAGCGGUGAAAUGCGUAGAUAUCGGGAAGAACACCAGUGGCGAAGGCGCUCUGCUGGGCCAUAACUGACGCUCAUGGACGAAAGCCAGGGGAGCGAAAGGGAUUAGAUACCCCUGUAGUCCUGGCCGUAAACGAUGAACACUAGGUGUCGGGGGAAUCGACCCCCUCGGUGUCGUAGCCAACGCGUUAAGUGUUCCGCCUGGGGAGUACGCACGCAAGUGUGAAACUCAAAGGAAUUGACGGGGGCCCGCACAAGCGGUGGAGUAUGUGGUUUAAUUCGAUGCAACGCGAAGAACCUUACCAGGGUUUGACAUCCUGCGAAUCCCUUGGAAACGAGGGAGUGCCUUCGGGAGCGCAGAGACAGGUGGUGCAUGGCUGUCGUCAGCUCGUGUCGUGAGAUGUUGGGUUAAGUCCCGCAACGAGCGCAACCCACGUCUUUAGUUGCCAGCAUUCAGUUGGGCACUCUAGAGAGACCGCCGGUGAUAAACCGGAGGAAGGUGUGGAUGACGUCAAGUCAUCAUGCCCCUUACAUCCUGGGCUACACACGUACUACAAUGCUACGGACAAAGGGCAGCAAGCUCGCGAGAGUUAGCAAAUCCCAUAAACCGUGGCUCAGUUCAGAUCGUAGGCUGCAACUCGCCUACGUGAAGGAGGAAUCGCUAGUAAUCGCAGGUCAGCAUACUGCGGUGAAUACGUUCCCGGGCCUUGUACACACCGCCCGUCACACCAUGGAAGUUGGCCAUGCCCGAAGUCGUUACUCCAACGC